GAUGAACGCUAGCGGGAGGCCUAACACAUGCAAGCCGAGCGGUAUUGUUUCUUCGGAAAUGAGAGAGCGGCGUACGGGUGCGUAACACGUGUGCAACCUGCCUUUAUCUGGGGGAUAGCCUUUCGAAAGGAAGAUUAAUACUCCAUAAUAUAUUGAACGGCAUCGUUUAAUAUUGAAAGCUCCGGCGGAUAGAGAUGGGCACGCGCAAGAUUAGCUAGUUGGUGAGGUAACGGCUCACCAAGGCGAUGAUCUUUAGGGGGCCUGAGAGGGUGAUCCCCCACACUGGUACUGCGACACGGACCCGACUCCUACGGGAGGCAGCAGUGAGGAAUAUUGGUCAAUGGGUGCAAGCCUGAACCAGCCAUCCCGUGUGAAGGACGACUGCCCUAUGGGUUGUAAACUUCUUUUGUAUAGGGAUAAACCUACCCUCGAGAGGGUAGCUGAAGGUACUAAACGAAUAAGCACCGGCUAACUCCGUG
This 479-nucleotide ribosomal RNA is filed under the name uncultured bacterium. RNAcentral's name for it is "partial 16S ribosomal RNA". It matches the Rfam family "Bacterial small subunit ribosomal RNA", at positions 28 to 507 of the family's 1533-position model. The record is from RNAcentral.